UACGAAGGGGGCUAGCGUUGUUCGGAUUUACUGGGCGUAAAGCGCACGUAGGCAGAUUCUUAAGUCAGGGGUGAAAUCCCGAGGCUCAACCUCGGAACUGCCUUUGAUACUGGGGAUCUCGAGUUCGGGAGAGGUGAGUGGAAUUGCGAGUGUAGAGGUGAAAUUCGUAGAUAUUCGGAAGAAUACCAGUGGCGAAGGCGGCUCACUGGCCCGGUACUGACGCUGAGGUGCGAAAGCGUGGGGAGCAAACAGG
This 253-nucleotide ribosomal RNA is filed under the name uncultured bacterium. RNAcentral's name for it is "partial 16S ribosomal RNA". It matches the Rfam family "Bacterial small subunit ribosomal RNA", at positions 524 to 776 of the family's 1533-position model. The record is from RNAcentral.